UACGUAGGGGGCUAGCGUUGUCCGGAAUCAUUGGGCGUAAAGCGCGCGUAGGCGGCCCGGUAAGUCCGCUGUGAAAGCCGGGGGCUCAACCCUCGGAUGCCGGUGGAUACUGUCGGGCUCGAGUACGGAAGAGGCGAGUGGAAUUCCUGGUGUAGCGGUGAAAUGCGCAGAUAUCAGGAGGAACACCAAUUGCGAAGGCAGCUCGCUGGGACGUUACUGACGCUGAGACGCGAAAGCGUGGGGAGCAAACAGG
Molecule: ribosomal RNA, 253 nt
Filed under: uncultured bacterium
Lineage: Bacteria
Description: partial 16S ribosomal RNA
Rfam family: Bacterial small subunit ribosomal RNA
Source: RNAcentral